GACGAACGCUGGCGGCGUGCCUAAACCAUGCAAGUCGAACGAGGGCAUAGCUUCGGUUAUGUCUGAGUGGCGGACGGGUGAGUAACGCGUGAACAACCAACCCUAUACAGGGGGACAACAGCUGGAAACGGCUGCUAAUACCGCAUAAGACCACGGGAGCGCAUGCUACUGGGGUCAAAGGAGAAAUCCGGUAUAGGACGGGUUCGCGUCCCAUUAGCUAGUUGGCGGGGUAACAGCCCACCAAGGCAACGAUGGGUAGCCGAGCUGAGAGGCUGAACGGCCACACUGGAACUGAGAGACGGUCCAGACUCCUACGGGAGGCAGCAGGUAGGAAUAUUGGGCAAUGGGGGAAACCCUGACCCAGCAACGCCGCGUGAAGGAAGAAGGCCUCGGUUGUAACGUUACUGUGACAGGGAAGAAGAAAUAGAC
RNAcentral lists this ribosomal RNA (429 nucleotides) under uncultured bacterium. RNAcentral's name for it is "bacterial SSU rRNA". It matches the Rfam family "Bacterial small subunit ribosomal RNA", at positions 28 to 458 of the family's 1533-position model. The record is from RNAcentral.